This 97-nucleotide transfer RNA is filed under the name Annulohypoxylon nitens. RNAcentral's name for it is "tRNA-His". It matches the Rfam family "tRNA". Rfam says of the family: Transfer RNA (tRNA) molecules are approximately 80 nucleotides in length. The record is from RNAcentral. Lineage: Eukaryota; Fungi; Ascomycota; Sordariomycetes; Xylariales; Hypoxylaceae.
GGUGGCUUCGUAUAGUGGUUAGUACAACACGUUGUGGUUAUCAAAUAAUAGCUAUAAACGUCCCGUGUAAACCUGGGUUCGAUUCCCAGAGCCGCCA